Molecule: ribosomal RNA, 472 nt
Filed under: uncultured bacterium
Lineage: Bacteria
Description: partial 16S ribosomal RNA
Rfam family: Bacterial small subunit ribosomal RNA
Source: RNAcentral
GAUGAACGCUGACAGAAUGCUUAACACAUGCAAGUCUACUUGAUCCUUCGGGUGAUGGUGGCGGACGGGUGAGUAACGCGUAAAGAACUUGCCCUGCAGUCUGGGACAACAUUUGGAAACGAAUGCUAAUACCGGAUAUUAUGCGAGUCUCGCAUGAGGAUCGUAUGAAAGCUAUAUGCGCUGCAGGAGAGCUUUGCGUCCUAUUAGCUAGUUGGUGAGGUAACGGCUCACCAAGGCGAUGAUAGGUAGCCGGCCUGAGAGGGUGAACGGCCCAAAGGGGACUGAGACACGGCCCUUACACCUACGGGAGGCAGCAGUGGGGAAUAUUGGACAAUGGACCAAAAGUCUGAUCCAGCAAUUCUGUGUGCACGAUGAAGUUUUUCGGAAUGUAAAGUGCUUUCAGUUGGGACGAAGUAAGUGACGGUACCAACAGAAGAAGCGACGGCUAAAUACGUGCCAGCCGCCGCCGUAA